AGCUUUCUGAUUCGUUCAUUAUUUUGGUAUUGCAAUGCUUGCAUUAAUGAGGCAGAUGGGAAAAAGAAAUAUGUUAGCUUCAUGAUUUUGCUAGAACCUAAUUGUUAGUCAUUUAUCUGUUGAAUUCAAGUGCAAGUAAUUUAGUGAACAUGAAUGAUAUUGUCUGAAAGAUGUUAAAAUUGCAUAAAGUGAUCAGUACAUCAUGAGGACUGUCUCAUUUCAAUUUCUUGCAUCUUUCAUAAUCUUAAUGCUUCUAAAAAAAGAUGAUCUUGGGGAUUCUCUUUCAAAAUCGAUAUGGUUAGUGAUUCUGACAAUUGGAAUGCAGUGCUUAAUAAGUGUAUUUCCUGAGUGGGAUGGACGCUGUAACUUUUCUGAUUUUCUCUGUUAUCUAAUUUCUUCAGUUAACAUGAAUGUCUUUAUUUUUUUUAAAUACUUAUUAGCAUUUUGUUUCUGAUGUGGAAUUCGUUCAAAUAGAGUUUAAUGACAAAA
RNAcentral lists this unclassified non-coding RNA (489 nucleotides) under Hevea brasiliensis (rubber tree). The record is from RNAcentral. Lineage: Eukaryota; Viridiplantae; Streptophyta; Magnoliopsida; Malpighiales; Euphorbiaceae.